GCAGUCCCGGCGGCUCACAGAGCGAACUUGCUGAGUGACGGGGCUGGGCUAUGACCCUCGGGCCGCUGCUGCUGCUGCUGGGGGCUCUGGGGGCGCCGCUCGCUCCGGGCGCCCACGGCUCGGAGGCCGAAGGCCGGCUCCGCGAGAAACUUUUCUCGGGCUAUGACAGCUCGGUGCGCCCGGCACGGGAGGUGGGCGACCGCGUCCUGGUCAGCAUUGGUCUCAGCCUGGCGCAGCUCAUCAGCCUGAACGAGAAGGAUGAGGAGAUGAGCACAAAGGUGUACUUAGACCUGGAGUGGACUGACUACAGGCUGAGCUGGGACCCCGCGGAGCACGACAACAUCGAGUCGCUCCGCAUCACGGCUGAAUCCGUGUGGCUACCAGACGUGGUGCUCCUCAACAACAAUGACGGAAAUUUUGACGUCGCUCUGGACAUUAACGUCGUGGUGUCCUCCAGCGGCUCAGUGCGCUGGCAGCCCCCGGGCAUCUAUCGCAGCAGCUGCAGCAUCCAGGUCACCUACUUCCCCUUCGACUGGCAGAACUGCAGUAUGGUGUUCCGUUCCUACAGCUAUGACAGCACAGAGGUUAGUCUGCAGACGGGCCUCGGUCCCGACGGGCAGGAGAUGCAGGAAAUCCACAUUCACGAAGGGACCUUCAUUGAAAAUGGCCAAUGGGAGAUUAUCCAUAAGCCCUCCAGGCUAAUCCAGCCUCCGGGAGAUCCUAUGGGAGGAAGGGAAGGACAGCAUCAGGAUGUCACCUUCUACCUCAUCAUUCGCCGGAAGCCUCUCUUCUACCUGGUCAAUGUCAUUGCUCCGUGUGUCCUAAUCACUCUCCUGGCCAUCUUCGUCUUCUACCUGCCUCCAGAUGCAGGGGAGAAGAUGGGACUCUCCAUCUUUGCCCUGCUGACCCUUACUGUGUUCCUGCUGCUGCUAGCGGACAAAGUGCCUGAGACCUCCCUGUCAGUCCCUAUCAUCAUCAAGUACCUCAUGUUCACCAUGAUCCUCGUCACCUUCUCAGUCAUCCUCAGCGUCGUAGUCCUCAACCUGCACCACCGCUCACCCCAUACUCACCAGAUGCCCCUUUGGGUGCGACAGAUCUUCAUCCACAAGCUCCCUCCGUACCUGGGUCUGAAGAGGCCGAAGCCUGAGAGAAACCAGAUGCCCAAGCCUCCUCCUCUAGCCCUCAGAGACUCCUCAGGAAGUGGCUGGGGUCGGGGAACAGAUGAAUAUUUCAUCCGGAAGCCGCCAAGUGAUUUUCUCUUCCCCAAACCCAACAGGUUCCAGCCUGACCUGUCUGCCUCGGACCUGCGGCGAUUUAUGGACGGUCCAAACCGGGCAGUGGGUCUGCCUCCCGAGCUGCGGGAGGUCGUCUCCUCCAUCAGCUACAUCGCUCGACAGCUGCAGGAGCAGGAGGACCACGACGCGCUGAAGGAAGACUGGCAGUUUGUGGCCAUGGUAGCGGACCGCCUCUUCCUAUGGACCUUCAUCAUCUUCACGAGCGUCGGGACCCUCGUCAUCUUCCUGGACGCCACGUACCACUUGCCCCCUGCGGACCCCUUUCCUUGAGGACGGCAGGGCGGAGACGCAGGUCCCCCGCCAGUUGAGCUGAAAAUCCUCCGCUCUGGUGCGCAGACCUUGGACAAGCCAUAUAGACUGCCCCGUGCCUCAGUUUCCUCAUCUGUACAAUGAAGUUAAUAAUAGUAGCUGCUCCUUAGGGUUGUCUGAGGAUCAUCGGAGAAGGUAACGAAAGCACUAUAUAGUACAUAUCAGAGGUCACAGACUGGUGUUUGGCCCAUGUUGCAGGCUGUAGGCCUGUGCAGUUUUUAAUUGGCAAACUUUUGAAAUUGGAAUAUUUCAUGGACAAUUUUGCAUUUCUGGUUUCUCUUGAAAAAACUUUAAAAAGCACAGUAACACCAGUUCUGGGUUCCCUCUUGGCACCAACCCGCCAGAGCUGAUUAGCGGCUCCCCACUCUGGGCAGUGCAUUUGCCCCGGAAUUCCCUACAGCCUCUACCCACCUGACCAGCUUCACUCAUUCUCCCUGUCCAGCCUCCAUAACAAUAGAAAAGAUUCAGGGAAGGGGAGGCCAUAAGGGCGGAAGUCCAUGGGAAGGCUAGGAAUGGAGAGAGGCCUCCGCCUGCCCUGUGGCCAUCACAGGUUCGUUUUGGGCCUCUGUUUCCUUUCACCCUGGGAGAAGUGCUGGACAGGUUUAAGGCAUGGCCCCUCUGGGACAUGGUUGUGCACCAGCCUUGUGAACUGGACUGAAUUAAUGUUUCUCUCUGGAGCUUGGCCUGAAGGCAGCUGGAUCCCAGAGCCGGCAGCUAGAACAGGACUGAGCGUCAGCAGGCCCUCACGCCUACUGCCCUGCUGGAAGUCGUCCUAAGGGAGAGAAUAGGGCUUCAACUCCCAGGGAUCCCCAGGGCACAAGACUAGCCUGUCCUUGUCCCCCAGACCCACCAGCCACGGAAAUAAUCGCACCUGGCACCCCACUGCGGAGCACAGUUCGUUUGUCUUGUUGGUUUAUUGGCCUAGAGAGUUGGACACACACACAAAUGCGGAGAUAAAUAUCACUCAGUUUCUCUAAGUCUGGGUCCUCACUACGUGUAGAGCAAAUCUGUAGAAUUCUAAACCUCGCGUGCUGUGGCACAGAACCAUGGCCCCCCACUCCACCAUCACCCCCCUUCCCAUGGGGAGAGAGGGCACAGACUAACAAGACUUGAGAAUUUCCAAAGGAUGAAAUCGCAAAAUCCCAAAUUUCCAGCAUCUGAAAUUCACAAUAUCCAAGCCCCCCACCUCAAAUACAUAUAUUUUAAUCUCCACUUCGCCACAAUUUCAUCAGUUGCCCAGGACCACCACAUGUGGGAAACUAUUUUCCUAAAUCAUAGUUUCAAAAAAUGUCUACAAUCUCAGCUGUCCCCAAAUAACCAAGGUUUUUGAAUUUUGACCCAUUCUGAAAUUCCAACUUCUGGGUCCAUCCAUACUCAACCCCUCCCAUCUCCUGUGCCUUUUUGGCCUCAGAGAAGGGCAGGCAAAGGACAGGGGGGAUCAGAGUCACCUGCGCCCCUGCCUCCAGGCCUUCCUCAGUCGCUCUUGUGGUUCCGCUGUAUGUAUAUAUAGAUAUAGCUGUAUAUAUCUAUAUAUAUCUAUAUAAUUUGUGUGUUGAUAUAUAUAUAUGUAUUCUUUAUUAUGUAUGUUUUU
This is an RNA transcript of Choloepus didactylus (southern two-toed sloth), 3195 nucleotides long. It is a transcript of the gene named cholinergic receptor nicotinic beta 1 subunit, with no coding region annotated. The transcript is spliced from 12 exons. The record is from RefSeq and is a predicted model, not a curated record. Lineage: Eukaryota; Metazoa; Chordata; Mammalia; Pilosa; Megalonychidae.